GCUUAACACAUGCAAGUCGAGGGGCAGCGGUGGUGAAGGCUUGCCUUUACCAGCCGGCGACCGGCGCACGGGUGAGUAACACGUAUGCAACCUGCCUGCCACAGCCGGAUAAUCGGGAGAAAUUCCGUCUAAUACGGCAUAAUGCAUCGACGGGACAUCCUGUUGGUGCCAAAGGUUGAUUCCGGUGGCGGAUGGGCAUGCGUCGCAUUAGUUAGUUGGCGGUGUAACGGACCACCAAGACGACGAUGCGUAGGGGUUCUGAGAGGAAGGUCCCCCACACUGGUACUGAGACACGGACCAGACUCCUACGGGAGGCAGCAGUGAGGAAUAUUGGUCAAUGGGCGGGAGCCUGAACCAGCCAAGUCGCGUGAGGGAUGACGGUCCUAUGGGUUGUAAACCUCUUUUGCCGGGGAGCAAAGUGCCGCACGUGUGCGGUUUGGAGAGUACCCGGAGAAAAAGCAUCGGCUAACUCCGUGCCAGCAGCCGCGGUAAUACGGAGGAUGCGAGCGUUAUCCGGAUUUAUUGGGUUUAAAGGGUGCGUAGGCGGACGCUUAAGUCAGCGGUAAAAUUGCGGGGCUCAACCUCGUCGAGCCGUUGAAACUGGGUGCCUUGAGUGGGCGAGAAGUACGCGGAAUGCGUGGUGUAGCGGUGAAAUGCAUAGAUAUCACGCAGAACUCCGAUUGCGAAGGCAGCGUACCGGCGCCCUACUGACGCUGAAGCACGAAGGCGUGGGUAUCGAACAGGAUUAGAUACCCUGGUAGUCCACGCAGUAAACGAUGAAUGCUAGUUGUCCGGGGCGAUUGAGUUCUGGGUGACACAGCGAAAGCGUAAGCAUUCCACCUGGGGAGUACGCCGGCAACGGUGAAACUCAAAGGAAUUGACGGGGGCCCGCACAAGCGGAGGAACAUGUGGUUUAAUUCGAUGAUACGCGAGGAACCUUACCCGGGCUCAAACGCAGGAGGGAUGUUUUUGAAAGGAGGCAGCCAGCAAUGGUCUCCUGCGAGGUGCUGCAUGGUUGUCGUCAGCUCGUGCCGUGAGGUGUCGGCUUAAGUGCCAUAACGAGCGCAACCCCUACCUACAGUUGCCAUCGCGUGAUGGCGGGCACUCUGUGGGGACUGCCUGCGCAAGCAGUGAGGAAGGCGGGGAUGACGUCAAAUCAGCACGGCCCUUACGUCCGGGGCGACACACGUGUUACAAUGGCAGGUACAGCGGGAAGCCACCCGGCGACGGGGCGCGGAACCCGAAAACCUGUCUCAGUUCGGAUUGGAGUCUGCAACCCGACUCCAUGAAGCUGGAUUCGCUAGUAAUCGCGCAUCAGCCACGGCGCGGUGAAUACGUUCCCGGGCCUUGUACACACCGCCCGUCAAGCCAUGGAAGCCGGGGGUGCCUGAAGUG
This 1395-nucleotide ribosomal RNA is filed under the name uncultured bacterium. Its description in RNAcentral is "bacterial SSU rRNA". It matches the Rfam family "Bacterial small subunit ribosomal RNA". The record is from RNAcentral.